GACGAACGCUGGCGGCGUGCCUAAUACAUGCAAGUAGAACGCUGAAGAGAGGAGCUUGCUCUUCUUGGAAGAGUUGCGAACGGGUGAGUAACGCGUAGGUAACCUGCCUUGUAGCGGGGGAUAACUAUUGGAAACGAUAGCUAAUACCGCAUAACAAUGGGUGACCCAUGUCAUUCAUUUGAAAGGGGCAAAUGCUCCACUACAAGAUGGACCUGCGUUGUAUUAGCUAGUAGGUGAGGUAACGGCUCACCUAGGCGACGAUACAUAGCCGACCUGAGAGGGUGAUCGGCCACACUGGGACUGAGACACGGCCCAGACUCCUACGGGAGGCAGCAGUAGGGAAUCUUUGGCAAUGGGGGCAACCCUGACCGAGCAACGCCGCGUGAGUGAAGAAGGUUUUCGGAUCGUAAAGCUCUGUUGUAAGUCAAGAACGAGUGUGAGAGUGGAAAGUUCACACUGUGACGGUAGCUUACCAGAAAGGGACGGCUAACUACGUGCCAGCAGCCGCGGUAAUACGUAGGUCCCGAGCGUUGUCCGGAUUUAUUGGGCGUAAAGCGAGCGCAGGCGGUUUGAUAAGUCUGAAGUUAAAGGCUGUGGCUCAACCAUAGUUCGCUUUGGAAACUGUCAAACUUGAGUGCAGAAGGGGAGAGUGGAAUUCCAUGUGUAGCGGUGAAAUGCGUAGAUAUAUGGAGGAACACCGGUGGCGAAAGCGGCUCUCUGGUCUGUAACUGACGCUGAGGCUCGAAAGCGUGGGGAGCGAACAGG
Molecule: ribosomal RNA, 765 nt
Filed under: uncultured Streptococcus sp.
Lineage: Bacteria; Bacillati; Bacillota; Bacilli; Lactobacillales; Streptococcaceae
Description: bacterial SSU rRNA
Rfam family: Bacterial small subunit ribosomal RNA
Source: RNAcentral